Molecule: small nuclear RNA, 18 nt
Filed under: Arabidopsis thaliana (thale cress)
Lineage: Eukaryota; Viridiplantae; Streptophyta; Magnoliopsida; Brassicales; Brassicaceae
Description: snRNA_05889
Source: RNAcentral
AACUUUCUAUUAUCUGUG